UCCAGUUCGCCGAACCGGACGGUCGCCCAGCAUCGCGCAGGAAAAUAGCAGUAAGCAGGGGUAAGUGCCUACCGUAGAAGUAGAUAUUUCGCAGGCAUUGCGCAGAAAAGGCAUCACACUUCGGUGUGAUACCAGUGCUCGCAAUGACUGCCAUAGAAUGGGGUACUUCGCAGGCAUUGCGCAGAAAAGGCAUCACGCUUUGGUGAUGCCAGUGCUCGCAAUGACUCUGCCGUAGAAUGGGGUACUUCGCAGGCAUUGCGUAGAAAAGGCAUCACGCUUCGGUGAUGCCAGUGCUCGCAAUGACUGCCGUAUACCAUAGAAUGAGGCACUUCGCAGGCAUUGCGUAGAAAAGGCAUCACGCUUUGGUGAUGCCAGUGCUCUCAAUGACUCUGCCGUUUUGUUAGGUCGGUAUCGGUUCGCGCAAAGGCUCGACCGUUACUAUGAGGGGCACAGCUGCUCUGCUUCGAACAGCGUCAGUACCACUGCUUACGUACCGUAGGGCACCGUUAUUAAAAACUAACGUGACUAACAGGCGACACGUAAGUGGAGUACAGUGAGAGUUGAUAGCUGGAGGCCAACGAAGACGGUUGGCUAUUAAUAAAAUCUCUCCUACACAGAGGAGUCCGUCGUAUACAUCACCGUGCCAGCUUCAACAAGCGUCAACGCCUGGCUCAUCAAUUCCGUUCGUUUUCAUCACCGUGCCAGCUUCAACAAGCGUCAACGCCUGGCUCAUCAAUUCCGUUCCGUAUUGGCAUUUCUGAACGUUCUGUUUGUUAUGCAAUCGUCAUGAUGCGCGCCAUGAUGCAUUUACGAACAUAGCCAUUAUUGACAGCAAUCUUGACGCCAUCGACUCCAAUAUUAUGGUCAAGUCUCAAAUACCCGAUGUGUGGAAAUGCGGAAGAGUGGUCUCACUACUGAAACCUGGGAAACCCGCUAACAAAGGGGAGUCCUAUCGUCCGAUAACUCUCACCAGGAGCCCUAUUCUGUAUCUCGAUUCGUAAAUGUUAUCGUAUGUCAUAAUUAUGCGAAAGUUGUAGCCCCUGUGCCAGAAUAAAUACGUACAAUUUUCGGCAGUUCCUGCAGUCACCUGUUUGGAGCGGAAUUGCCUCCUAGGAACAACAAGAGAUCAUUAAAGACAAUACACCGACCUGACUUCGGACGCAACUCGCUCCUAUAUAGACCUCGACAUAUCCAAUAUACACAAGAAUGAUAGAAACAAGAUUGCGCAAUGCGCAUGUUUGCUUUCAGUCAGCUGUUCUUGCUGACUUCAAGGUUGACUUAUUAUUCGCCCGUGCUUUUUGUUGGGUGCAAAAAUAAUAAUGGUAAAAAUUGUGCUACGAAAUGGAGAUUUUUUCAUUUCCCUAAAGAUAAAACAGUGGUAAAACAAUGGAUAAUUUUUGUCGUCGUACAGACAAAAUUAAUGCAACUUGCAGUUUGAAAUGGGUUUAAGUUCGCGGAAUCCAACUAAGUUACUGCCUAGCGCUUUUCCCACGUUAACCACUGCUCCUGCAGAGGCUACUGAACAGCAGAAAAGGAUGGAGUCUCGUUCCAAAAAAGAGAUGUUAACAACAAUGUUGAAGAAUACUGCCCCUGUUGAAGUAAUUCAAGAAGACGAGGGUGGAGAGGCACCUCAAACUACAGGAGAGGAGGUCAUCGAUGAGAAAGACGAGAAAAUACUGCAUUUGGAAACAGAAAUGUUAGUCUUACAUACAUAAGUAUGUGUAUUUCUUAUUCUUUUUAGACAAAGGCUGAAUAGUGUUGUUAGAACUUUGAAUAAGUGCAAAAACGAGCAAUCAGCAGAAAUUAAACGCCUUAGGAUUUCCAUUAAAACCUCGGAAUUCCACAGAAAUAAUUUGGAGCAAAAACUUAGCUGCAUUUUCAUCAACGGCCAGGUAAUAUUUUUCAACGUGUGUCAGUUGAUCUAAAUUCCACUGACCCAAUUGAAAAAAAUGAUGACUUGGAGAUUCUCAACAACGACGGACUUUAGAAUUUGGCAGGGUACAUCUGCCACAAACUCGGUAAAGACAACCUCGAAAUUUGUGAAAAUUCAGAAAAUUGUUCGUCUUAUACUUGGGUGGAUCACCUUUCUGAAGGAGGACUCUCAAAACCAACAGAUGUGUUAAUGGAGCAUAUGAGAGCCUUGCAAGCAGUAUUUGACGAUGUAAAUGGUACUGAUUUACAUAUAUGUACAAAUUACGCCCAGAAGCACUUAGAUUUACGUAAUUUUGUAAAUUGUAGCUCGAAAGUAAAAUAAUUGUUUUUCAGAGCUAGAAUGUAGAUUAGGAUUCGUUCCUUAAGGGGCUAUACCAGUGUGACACUUUCAAAAAUUUUUUUUUUUUUUUUUUUGCUUUUUCUAUAGUUUAUAUAUAUAAAAAUAUCCUGUGAAAUCGGCAAGGUCGUAUCUUGAAUAGUUUUUGAAUGGCAGCGUUCUAAACAGCGACCGCUCAGAGGAGCAAGCAUAUACUUACAUAUAAGUGAAACUUUAAACGCGUUAUUCUCGAAACAAAAUUUUUCAAAAUUGCUGACAUCAUAACUCAACGAGAAAUUGGCCGAUUAACUUCAAAUUAAAACUGGGUAUAGUUGAAUACAUUUGCCAUACAACGGACUACGAUCUUUUUGAUUGGUUGAAAAUUGUCAAUUUGGCAUUAAAAAACCGACCAUUGUUUUCGUAAAAAAAACGAUUUUUUUUUUCAAAAUUACGACAUUUUCUUGCCAACAGUCUUUGAAUCAUGCCAACAGUUGAGGCAUCUUUUUUUCGGCACUUCCGCAGACAGCACAUAAUUCCGUUAUUUUUCAAUAUAUUUGUAAAAAAAAAUUUUAAUAUAGCUCAAAAAUAUUUUUUUUCGUUCAUAGAACGUCGAAACAUUCAAUCUAGUACUUUCUUUUAAAAAAAUUCACGAAAAUCGCCUAAUUUUUCAUGCGUCACACUGGUAUAGCCCCUUAAAUAAAAACUUAAUUGAACAUAUGUAUAGCAAAAAAAGAAAAUUAAAUAAGACAAUAAAUUGAUACUUGGUCGCAAAA
Bactrocera neohumeralis is the source of this 3021-nucleotide long non-coding RNA. RefSeq lists it as uncharacterized. The record is from RefSeq and is a predicted model, not a curated record. The transcript is spliced from 4 exons. Lineage: Eukaryota; Metazoa; Arthropoda; Insecta; Diptera; Tephritidae.